GUGCGAAAUUGGGCUGCUUAGAGGCCCAAGUGAACAAGCGGAGUGCUGAGGACUCGUCGCGUUGGCGACGGAGAGCGUCGAGGAGUUGAGUUGAAGUGAAAUUGGAAGGGAGUUGACGAGAGAAAGUGGAAGAUGAAGAUGAUAGUGAGGUGAGUUGCUGAUGGUCAUGGUGUUGUGUGGAGGCAAAAGAAAUGGUGGUGGGUUUGGAAGAUAAAGGGAGGAGGGAUUGUCGUGGGAGAGGCCAAGGGUGACUCUUGAGACACGAAGAGAGUGACAUUUCAGGGGAUUUGACGGAGAUUGAACAUGAAAAUUUGGAAAAGAAAGUUUCUUUCUUUCAGGAAUGAGCUAGUGAGCUGCAGCUGGAGUGAAAACAACUGGAUUUUCCUUUUUCUUUUUUUCUUUUUUUUUUUUUUCCCUUGAAGGUCGUUUCCGGGCGGUUUUCUGCCAAUUGCAUAAACCAACCCUGAAUCCUUAACUUAGGCGGCUGAGGAGAUGCCAACGACGUCGUUAGCAGUGUUUUAAAAGCCUACCAACCAAAACGCUACGUUUGUUUCCAGGGGCGAUGGUUUAACUAUUUUGGACAGUUUAAUCUUCGGGGCCCAAUAUUUGGGUCCAACUAACCCCUGCAUCCACUGUGAGUUAUUGGGCCCUUACCCAACCCAAUGUUAAACAUUUUCUUUCACAUCUUCUUGAGGUUCCCCCCGGAGUCACACCCUGUGUCCCUGUCUGAAAUUAUAGUACGGUAGAAUUUUAAUAAAUUAAAGCUCAAUAAAUUGAUAAUCUCGAUAUAAAUAAUAAUUUUAUCGAUCCCAAGCUAAUAUGGUAAUUAAUAAUUUAAUAAAUUUAUUAUAUAAUAAAAUUUUAAAAAAAUUUUAUUUUUCUAUAAGACCCAACUAAUAUAAAAAUUAAUAACGAAUUAAUUUAAAAAUAAAUACGUAUGAUAUGUUUAUGAUUUUCUUUGUUAUAAUGACAUAAUGCUUCACAUAUUUCAUUGGUUAUUGUUAUAUUCUAUGUGCUACAUUGGUUAUUGUUGUAUUCUAUAUGCCAUGUUAAGAAAAAUAAGAGAGAGAUUAGUUAAUAUGUCACCUCCAAAUAGUCUUCUCCGAUGAGUUACUGAAUAAUUGCUAUCCAGCCAUGCAAUUGUUAGCCUAUAUGGCUAUAAAUAUUGAUUUUGAUGAUAACAAACCACAUGUAUUUAUUAAGUGAAGAUUUAUGAAUUGUGCUUUUAUAAUAAGAAAAUGAUGUUAUGGAAUUAAAGCAUUUUGGAUUAAAAUGAAAGUAAUUUCAAAAUCUUUGAUAGUGUUUAAAUUUCGGAUUUGGACCUAUUUGAAACUAUUUAAAUGUUUUUGGGUCAUUCUAUAAUUUCACAAAGUUUGGGAGAAAUCAUAAUUUCAGAAAGUUUUGGGAUUAACGAAGCAUUACUUAGAAGUUCUGAAAUUGGACUUAUUUGUAAAGUUUCAUAACAUUUUGGGUCAUAUUAUAGUUUUAUAAAGUUUUAGGGUCAAACUGAAAAUUUGAGAAAUAUUUCACUGUAGUAGGUUACUGUAGCAAGCGGCUAUCCAGAUUUUGAAAACCGGAAAUCCGGAUACGGGCAGUAAGCGUCCAGAACGAAAACAGCUUAUCGGAUUCCGUAACCGGCAAGCCAGAUAGGCAAAAUUCAAAUUUUUGCCCUAACGGUAACAUAAAUUCGGCUUACCGGAUUCUAUAAACGGUAAACCGGAUACGCCUGGAAUGUGAGUAACGGCUAGUUUUUGAGCUCAAACUAUAAGAACUCAAAUCCAACUCAUUUUGAAGCUCUCCAACAAGUAAAAAUAAAAAGCACACGAGAUAUCUUGAGCCUUCAAACUUGCAAACUACAUACAUUGAAUCAUUCAUUGUUCUUCAUCUUUGAAUAUCUACUCAUUGAGUGAGUUUCAUUGUAACUUUCAUUUCUUCAUUUCAAUUGUAAGAAUUUGAGUGUGUGAGACACUUGAGUGAAGAGAUUGGGAGAUAAUUUCUUCGUUGUAAAGGUUUAUUGACACCUCGAAGUCAAUUGUAAUCGGUUGAAGCCUCGGAAAGGCUUGGAUAGUGAAAUCCUCAAGCUUGGAUUGCUUGGAGGCGUGGACGUAGGCGGGGAUUGCCGAACCACGUAAAAAUCCGUGUGUUUGUUUCUCUUCUCCCUUACUCUUUAAUUAUUGUGCCUUUAUUAAACUUAUUGCUUUCAAUUUUUAUUAAGGCAUUAGAUUGUUUGUUGUGUGGAUUUGCUAGGAUAAUUUUUAAAUUUCCAAUUCACCCCCCCUCUUAGGUUGCACACUUAUAUUUCAUUUGGUAUCAGAGCAAGGUGCUCUUAUUUAGAUUUAACAAUCUAGAGCUAAAGAUCAAUGGCAACUCAAAAUGAUUCCACAUUUAGGGAAGGGCAGUCCACUACUAGACCACCUUACUUUGAUGGAAACGAUUACUCAUAUUGGAAAACUAGGAUGAGAAUUUACUUGUAAGCGAAGAGCAUUUUAUAAAGCUUGGAAUGAUGAAUAUUGAAUCUUAAUUCAUGUUUUACUACAUGGCUUGAUAUGUUUGUUAUCAUAUGGAUUUAUGCUUUAUGAAUUAGACAACUUGAUAUGCUUGUAAAUUUAUGAUUUUAUGAUUUGUUUUUCAUGUAUUAAAUGACUUAUUGAAAAAUUUUAAGUCUCAAAAUGAUUUAAAAUUAAUCAAUUUUUAAGGCCGGAAAUGAAAUAGUGUGUGUAGUACAAGUAUAAGAGCUAGUAAAUAUUCCAUUUCCAUUCAUCCGGAAAAACAUUUUUUUUUAUUGAUCUCUCUCGGGACAAAUUUCAGAUAACCGGAUUCUCAAUCCGAAAAAUCGAAUUAGCUUUGGUUGCUCUCAAGACAAUAUUCGGACAACCGGAUUUGAUAAGCUUCAUCUCUGCCUCAUAACUGGUCUACCGGAUCUUCAAUCUGGAAAACCGAAUUUGGAAGCCAACUCUCUGCCUCACAACCGGUCUACCAGUUAGCAAAACCGGAAAGCCGAAUUCGCGUGCAUGCUUUCUGGAACAACACCGGAUUUCCGGUUCAAGACAAUCCGGAAAACCGGAUUUUUGGAGGCUCUCGAAACCGGCUAGUGGGUCAAAUACAGCGAUAACAAGUUUACCUUUCUAGCCCCAAGUGAUGAUCGGCCACUUAAUGCUGUGAUUCCAACUGAUCAGCUUCCAGUAUUCUCACUCUCUUUUCGAGGGUAGCGUAGACGCCAAGUUUCUUCUACGGUUGCUUCGGCUCCUAGUGCAUCUGCAUCCGUUUCAUCACCUCCACGGCCUCCUAUCUCUGGAGAUGUUACUCUUCAGCAGCUUAUGGAUGAGGUGCGGAUACUUUCGGUGCGGCAGACUGAGCUUCAGCAGGAGCAGCAGCAGCUCAUUCAUGGACAACGCCUCCUCUUUGAGCACUUCGGCAUUCCAUAUUCGUUUCCACCUCCGUCACCUCCAUCCUCACCACCUGAGUAGUAUCUUAUGCUUGUACUUGGACACACCUACAUUUCAUUUACUGCAUUGUGUGUUCUUUUAUUUUCAACUCUAUGGAUGGUUAUUAUGCUUUUUGGUUUAUGCAUUUGUUUUGGAUGAUACUGCUGUACCGUACAUCCGCCUUGGCCGUACAGCAGGAUUAGCUUUGGUUGCUCUCAAGACAAUAUUCGGACAACCGGAUUUGAUAAGCUUCAUCUCUGCCUCAUAACUGGUCUACCGGAUCUUCAAUCUGGAAAACCGAAUUUGGAAGCCAACUCUCUGCCUCACAACCGGUCUACCAGUUAGCAAAACCGGAAAGCCGAAUUCGCGUGCAUGCUUUCUGGAACAACACCGGAUUUCCGGUUCAAGACAAUCCGGAAAACCGGAUUUUUGGAGGCUCUCGAAACCGGCUAGUCGGUUAAGGAAACCGGCAAGCCGAAUUGCCUCUUGCUGCUCUCGGGUCUAUAUCCGGUUUACCAGAUUUCAAAUUCGGAAAGCCGAUUUCGAAUUUCUCCAAUUCUGCUGGCUAACCGGCUUGCCGGUUAGAAAAUCCAGCAAGCCGGAUACGUGACCCUUUUAAGUUGUUCAUCCUCUUCCUCAUGUAUUCGGAAAACCAGUUCUUUAUCUCUCUAAAAACCAUUCUCAUUCUCUCUCUUUUUCACUCCAAAAUCCUUCAUUUUCUAUCCUUUUCACAUCAAAUUGAAUCUAAAAAAUCAUUCUCCAUCUCAUUAAGAACUCAAAACCAUCCUUGGAAUUCAUUUUGAACAUCUAAAUCUUUAGAUCCCAUUUUUAACCUAGGUUUUGAGCCAUUUUUUUCUCUCUCUAGAUUUCUCUCUCUCAAGUCGUUUUUGAUCCAAUUUUCUUCUCCAAAUCACUCUCAAUCUUCAUCAUCAUCGUUCUCCUUAUCCUUUUUAACUCAAAAUCAACCAAAUCUAAAUGUCAAGCUCUCGGUCGGUUUGAAGAAAAUCAACUGAUCAGCUUCCAGUAUUCUCACUCUCUUUUCGAGGGUAGCGUAGACGCCAAGUUUCUUCUACGGUUGCUUCGGCUCCUAGUGCAUCUGCAUCCGUUUCAUCACCUCCACGGCCUCCUAUCUCUGGAGAUGUUACUCUUCAGCAGCUUAUGGAUGAGGUGCGGAUACUUUCGGUGCGGCAGACUGAGCUUCAGCAGGAGCAGCAGCAGCUCAUUCAUGGACAACGCCUCCUCUUUGAGCACUUCGGCAUUCCAUAUUCGUUUCCACCUCCGCCUCCUGAUAUUGAUGACUAUGUUCAUGUUGAUGCCGUUCGUAAUAUUUGUCGGUGUAAUGAUCUUUCUGUUAAAGACUGUACCAUUCAUUUCCGUACUCAGUGUCUUUGUCUUCAAACUUAUUUUUUAUUUCGUACCAUCCGGUCCAUUGUACUUCUUAGAUCAGGACAUUUGGAUGAGGUUUCUCAUAUGGAUGUGGCCAUGAUUGACUGUAUUCUUAGAGGUCGCCCGGUUGACUUGGGCUAUUCAAUCAUCCGCACCAUGUUGAGCAUUCCUGCCUUGAUUACCCGCUCUCUUCCGUAUGGUCACUUUAUUACCCGAAUUCUUAAAUUCUUUGAAGUGCCGAUUCUAGAACUAUCUUGUAGGCCGUCCAAGGGUAUUGGGGAUGAGGUUAUUGUUGGAUUAGGCUUUGAGUGGAAGGAUGGCACUUGGGUCAAAUACAGCGAUAACAAGUUUACCUUUCUAGCCCCAAGUGAUGAUCGGCCACUUAAUGCUGUGAUUCCAACUGAUCAGCUUCCAGUAUUCUCACUCUCUUUUCGAGGGUAGCGUAGACGCCAAGUUUCUUCUACGGUUGCUUCGGCUCCUAGUACAUCUGCAUCCGCUUCAUCACCUCCACGGCCUCCUACCUCUGGAGAUGUCACUCUUCAGCAGCUUAUGGAUGAGGUUCGGACACUUUCGGUGCGGCAGACUGAGCUUCAGCAGCAGCAGCAGCUCAUUCAUGGACAGCGCCUCCUCUUUGAGCACUUCGGCAUUCCAUAUCCGUUUCCACCUCCUUCACCUCCAUCCUCACCACCUGAGUAGUAUCUUAUGCUUGUACUUGGACACACCUACAUUUCAUUUGCUGCAUUGUGUGUUCUUUUAUUUUCGACUCUAUGGAUGGUUAUUAUGCUUUUCGGUUUAUGUAUUUGUUUUGGAUGAUAUGGAUUUGUUGUGACUAUUUAUGUUGGAUGUUAAAAUCGAGUAAUCACCACAGUUGGAGGAGUUUUGAUUGAAUUUGAUGAUUUGGAGUUGAACUCCAUCCUAGGAUCUUCCGAUGAUGGCCUGGACAUUUUUUCUCUUAGGAAACCUCCUGAUAUUGAUGACUAUGUUCAUGUUGAUGCCGUUCGUAAUAUUUGUCGGCGUAGUGAUCUUUCUGUUGAAGACUGUACCAUUCAUUUCCGUACUCAGUGUCUUUGUCUUCAAACUUAUUUUUUAUUUCGUACCAUCCGGUCCAUUGUACUUCUUAGAUCAGGACAUUUGGAUGAGGUUUCUCAUAUGGAUGUGGCCAUGAUUGACUGUAUUCUUAGAGGUCGCCCGGUUGACUUGGGCUAUUCAAUCAUCCGCACCAUGUUGAGCAUUCCUGCCUUGAUUACCCGCUCUCUUCCGUAUGGUCACUUUAUUACCCGAAUUCUUAAAUUCUUUGAAGUGCCGAUUCUAGAACUAUCUUGUAGGCCGUCCAAGGGUAUUGGGGAUGAGGUUAUUGUUGGAUUAGGCUUUGAGUGGAAGGAUGGCACUUGGGUCAAAUACAGCGAUAACAAGUUUACCUUUCUAGCCCCAAGUGAUGAUCGGCCACUUAAUGCUGUGAUUCCAACUGAUCAGCUUCCAGUAUUCUCACUCUCUUUUCGAGGGUAGCGUAGACGCCAAGUUUCUUCUACGGUUGCUUCGGCUCCUAGUGCAUCUGCAUCCGUUUCAUCACCUCCACGGCCUCCUAUCUCUGGAGAUGUUACUCUUCAGCAGCUUAUGGAUGAGGUGCGGAUACUUUCGGUGCGGCAGACUGAGCUUCAGCAGGAGCAGCAGCAGCUCAUUCAUGGACAACGCCUCCUCUUUGAGCACUUCGGCAUUCCAUAUUCGUUUCCACCUCCGUCACCUCCAUCCUCACCACCUGAGUAGUAUCUUAUGCUUGUACUUGGACACACCUACAUUUCAUUUACUGCAUUGUGUGUUCUUUUAUUUUCAACUCUAUGGAUGGUUAUUAUGCUUUUUGGUUUAUGCAUUUGUUUUGGAUGAUAUGGAUUUGUUGUGACUAUUUAUGUUGGAUGUUAUGGAUUUGUUUUGAUUGAUCAUUAUGGAUUAUAUGGAUUUUCUUAUGCUUAUGGAUAUUUUUUUUACUAAUGUGCUUGUGUUGCGAUUUUGAUGAUUGAUAGGGGGAGCCUUUAUUCUUUUUGAUAAUGAAGGGGGAGAAUGAUUUAAUAUGUGUUAUGAAAAUAUGCAUGUAUUUAGGGGGAACAUGUAUGCAGGGGGAGUUUUUGUUAAACAAUUUUCAAAUCAUUUUUUUUAACUUGCAUUGAUUAAGGGGGAGCUUUUUCAUAACAAGAUUAAAGUUUUUAAUGUGUUUUGUCAUCAUAAAAAAUGGGGAGAUUGUUAGCCUAUAUGGCUAUAAAUAUUGAUUUUGAUGAUAACAAACCACAUGUAUUUAUUAAGUAAAGAUUUAUGAAUUGUGCUUUUAUAAUAAGAAAAUGAUGUUAUGGAAUUAAAGCAUUUUGGACUAAAAUGAAAGUAAUUUCAAAAUCUUUGAUAGUGUUUUAAAUUUCGGAUUUGGACUUAUUUGAAACUAUUUAAAUAUUCAUUACUUAGAAAUUCUGAAAUUGGACUUAUUUGCAAAGUUUCAUAACGUUUUGGGCCAUACUACAGUUUUAUAAAGUUUUGGGGUCAAACAAAAAAUUUGAGAAAUAUUUCCUUGUAGCAGGUUACUGUAGCAAGCGGCUAUCCGGAUUCUGAAAACUGAAAAUCUGGAUACGGGCAGUAAGCAUCUAGAACGCAAACGGCUUACCGGAUUCCGUAACCGGCAAGCCGGAUAGGCAAAAUUCAAAUUUUUGCCUUAACGGUAACAUAAAUCCGGCUUACCGGAUUCCAUAAACGGCAAAUCGAAUACGCCUGGAACGUGAGUAACAGCUAGUUUUUGAACUCAAACUAUAAAAACUCAAAUCCAACUCAAUUUGAAGCUCUCCAACAAGCAAAAACAAAAAGCACACGAGAUAUCUUGAGCCUUAAAACUUGCAAACUACAUACAUUGAAGAAAUUGGACUUAUUUGUAAAGUUUCAUAACGUUUUGGGCCAUACUAUAAUUUUAUAAAGUUUUGGGGUCAAAUUGAAAAUUUGAGAAAUAUUUCAUUGUAGCAGGUUACUGUAGCAAGCGGCUAUCCGGAUUCUGAAAACUGAAAAUCCGGAUACGGGCAGUAAGCGUUUAGAACGAAAACGGCUUACCGGAUUCCGUAACCGGCAAGCCGGAUAGGCAAAAUUCAAAUUUUUGCCUUAACGGUAACAUAAAUCCGGCUUACCGGAUUCCAUAAACGGCAAAUCGAAUACGCCUGGAACGUGAGUAACAGCUAGUUUUUGAACUCAAACUAUAAAAACUCAAAUCCAACUCAAUUUGAAGCUCUCCAACAAGCAAAAACAAAAAGCACACGAGAUAUCUUGAGCCUUCAAACUUGCAAACUACAUACAUUGAAUCAUUCAUUGUUCUUCAUCUUUGAAUAUCUACUCAUUGAGUAAGUUUUAUUGUAACUUUCAUUUCUUUAUUUCAAUUGUAAGAAUUGGAGUGUGUGAGACACUUGAGUGAAGAGAUUGGGAGAUAAUUUGUUCGUUGUAAAGGUUUAUUGACACCUCGAAGUCAAUUGUAAUCGGUUGAAGCCUCGGAAAGGCUUGGAUAGUGAAAUCCUCAAGCUUGGAUUGCUUGGAGGCGUGGACGUAGGCGGGGAUUGCCGAACCACGUAAAAAUCUGUGUGUUUGUUUCUCUUCUCUCUUACUCUUUAAUUAUUGUGCCUUUAUUAAACUUAUUGCUUUCAAUUUUUAUUAAGGCAUUAGAUUGUUUGUUGUGUGGAUUUGCUAAGAUAAUUUUUAAAUUUCCAAUUCACCCCCCCUCUUGGAUUGCACACUUAUAUUUCAGCAAUCUAGUGAAAAGAAUAUCAUAUGAUUGUUUCUUUCAAUUAAGAUAAAAUCAAAAUCAUAUCAUAUAGUUUGACAGAAUCACUGUAUUAUUUAAUUAUACUAUCAUACUUGAUAAAAGCUUAUAUUAUGAGCCUGAUAUUAUCUUUAAAUAUUAAAAUAUUAUUAAUUUAUCGAUAUAUUAAUAUUUACUCAAUUUAUGAGGUUAUAAUGUAUUUAUACUUUUCUCGUAUCAUAUCCCGCAAAAUCUAAAAAAAGUAUCUUAAGAGUAAUUGUAGAAAUAGCACUAAAUUAUUUAUUAAUCACAUCAGUUGUCACAUAAAUUGAAAUUCAAGAGUUUAGACUCCGCAUAAGAGUUAAGACUUAAAUACUGAGACCCUAACAUAUUACUGGAAUGAAUUCUUAUCGAUAGACAUAUGAGUCAACAUAAUCUUAUCAAAUAGACAACUAGAAUGUUGAGGAAACGAAGUACAUAGAAAUCGAAAUGCGUAGUUAUAAUUAAUUAACUAGCCAUAACUUCGGGAACCAACGAAUAUGUAUUGGAAGGCCGCGGGAGAUUAACAAAAGUUCGCUUCCCACACCGUGCUAGAAUAAACAUAGUACUUUCCUUUUCCAAUGCACCAAACAUUAAGCAGUUAGCAAACGUUGCAUUGAAUGUGCAUUUGCUUGUAUUUACUUGCAAAAGUUUUGCUCUUAUCAAUAACACCUAGAUUGCAUUGUGCACAUGAUACUCAUGUCUGUAAAUUAGCUGUAACGAAUUGGUACGAACUUAUGAGCCUUCAGCAUUAGAGAAAUUUUAGAAUAUAUCAAAAAUAUCUUGCUGAUAACUCUAUAAAAUGAGAGUUAUCCUGACACUAUUAGACUUAAAUCAAGAUUACUUAGAGAGUAAGUGAUAUUUUUUUAAUUGCAUUUUAGUUAUAUUUAGCAUGAAUAUCCAUUUUAGUUUAUUUUUAAUAAAUUACGUUGUUUUAUAAUAAUUUGUGUGCUUAGAUCGUAUGUAUAAUUGUAGGUGAUCGGAAACUCAAAUUUCAAGGGAGGAAUGCUGCUACAAUAGGCUUGCAAAAAUAAAGAAAGAACAUGGUUAUAGAAGAAUUGAAACAAGUCUAAAAUAGUGCAGGUGCUGAAGCCAUUACUAUAACAUUGUUGCUAUAGUAAUUCUGGAGCAUUGAUAAAGAAGAUUUCACGCAAAAUACUUAGAAGAUUGCGAUAUGGAGUUUCCUAAAAUGGAAGAUAUGCGCCCUAGACUUUUGGUUGCUCUAAUUCUAAGAUAUAGAAGGAGCCACACUCAAAGAAAAGAAGAGAGUCGUCACCCAAGGAGAAAAACUGCAAAGAAACAAAAGAAAAACAUAAUUCAAGAGAGAGAUUGAAGGCUGCACUAGCAAAGAAAACACAUAGAUCCAUUGAAAAUCAGUCAUUCUUGUUCUUUUCUUGUUUUUAUUUAUUCACGGGGAUGUAUUUCGUGGCUAAAACUCUUUUAUUUAUUUUUCUUUCGCAAAUCAUGAAAUAAAUUUGAUUGUAGUUGAGUUAUGAAUGAUCUUAAUGGGUGUUUGACUGACAUAUUCAUGGUAAUCUGUAUUUGCUGCAGCAGUUUAUCUUAAUUGUAUUUAUUUUCUACAUCAUGUUGCUUUGCCGCUCGUUGUGGCAGUUGCUGUAAUUGAAAAUUGAAAUAAGGUUAUCAAUAGCAUUAAAUACCCACCGCAUGAUUGAUGAUUUUCAACAUAAUUCGUAACCAAUAAUGAUUUUUGUAAUGGUAGUAUGGCACCCACUAGGGAUGACAAUAAAAUUCGGAUUCGGCCCGCAUCCGCAAGGAUCCGGAAGAUCCGGAUCCAAAAAUUCGGAUCCCAUGUUAAAAAAUGCGGAUCCGGAUGUAAGAAAUUAAAAUCUGCACGAAUUCGGAUUCGGAUUGAGAUACAAGUGCAUCUGGAAAGUCGGAUAUCCGGAUCCGAUUAAUUUUUAUAUUAGAUUAAAAAAUAUAUAUUAACUUACUUAAAAACAAAUUUAACCCAACUCUCACAUUCACACACACGCUCACAACACUUUACCAGCAGCCACAACCCACAAAUCCCUAACACCCAAAUCCCCCAAAUUCCGUAGGAUGUCGUCGUCUGCCUCACGGCCUCGCCUAAGCCUCGUGUCCAAGCCUCGAUCUGAGUCGGUUGCUGUCGCUGCGUGCUGCACACCUCGAUCUGAGUCAGUUGCUGCCACUACACGCUCGAUUUGAGUUAGUUGUUGCCGCUACACGCUCGACCUGAGUUAGUUGCUACCGCGCCUCGCCUCGCUGCGUGCUACACGCCUCGAUUAGGUUUUAAUUUGAAAAAAGUGUUGAAUUUUUAAAUUAUAUUUAAAUUAUUAAAUUUAAUUUUUGUUGAUCCGGAUAUUCGGUAUAUCCGCCUGCAAUCCAGACGAAUAUUACCCACAUCUGGAUCCGCAAAAAAAAAUUCCCGAAUACAAAUCCAAAUCCAAAUAUAAAAAUAUCAAUCCGGAUAUACCUGUAUCCGAAUUUUGCCAUCCCCAGUACCCACUGCCCGUGCAAUAAUACAUUGACCAUUGAUGCAAUAAGGUAUGGGGCCAUGAAACUCAUCCAAUUCAUUCAUUCACGUGUCCUGCAUUUAUUAUCUCCACUUCACCUUCUUCAACAUUUAUUGCCACCAUCAAAUUCCACAAUGUUCGCCCUUGAAAGUUUUUAUUAUUCAUGUUAAAGAGAUUGUUCUGCUUGGGCCACUUGGCCCUAGCUAAUGCAUAAUCAUCAAAUCAUUGGCAUGGAAAAGUCUUUUGGUACACAGACAAUUUUGCAUAUGUUGAUCAUUUAAUAGAACUUUUAUCAUUAUAUCUAACUAUUCCUACGAUACAAUAUUUCAUUGGAUAUGAACAUAUAUGUCUUGCCGAGAGUAUACAUAAAGCUUAUAUUUAUUUUUACUACCGUUCAAUAAAAUCAUGCUAUUUAUACAAUCAUCAAAAAAACAAUAUGUAAUUUUUUUAGGAGAAAUUUUUAUUGAAGUAAUUUUGGGAUAAGAACAUUUCGGUUCAGUAGUUUCCAAUGUUAUUUUUCAAGUACGGAUGUAGCUCGUCCAAUUACAUCAAAUAGGUCCAUGAUUCCUCCCAAGUUUUGUUUUGUUCUUCUUCUUUUAAUAUCACAUUACCACAAUCUCUUAAUCAAUUCUAUAAUGGCAAAAUUUAAAUAUUUUGUUUGGAUUUAGAAUAAAUGGAACCUAUUUUUGAAUGAUUAAAAGAAAAUUAACCUCACAAAUACACAUAAGUAAACUCAAACUUUGUGGAAAGAGAAUUAAUUUACUAUUAGGUUAUUGGAUGGUUCUCUUGACCCUUAAUUUUUUAAGAAAAAAAAAGGAGAUGAAGGCCCUAACCCCAUUUGAGAAGUAUCUAAAUGCUCUUUACUCUGUAAUAGUUUUGGCAUAGUCUUACAUUCUUAAAAUUCAUUCAAAUGGAGAAGUUAGCGGACUAAUUUUAAAAAAAAAUAAAGAUCUAAAGUUAUUAACCGUUUUCUAAUUUUCUAUUAAGAAAUUUUUUGCUGGAAUAUGGAAACCUAUAAGCAAUUGCGAAUGUAUUGACCGCAAUUUGCAAAACUCGGUGACUCUGGAAUGAUCUCUCCGCGUACGCGUGAGUGCGUGUCGGUAUAAAUAUGAAGGACUUAUCACAUUGCCCACAUUGACGACCCACCCCAACAAUUAGGUUACAUGCCUCUUUCGUCAUAAAAGAUUAUCAAUUCUUAAUUAAUUUGGCUCUUUUCUGCCGUCCAAAAAAUCUUAAUUUCCCAAUGUUAGAUUUGAAUUGAUUGAAGAGUUUGAAACUAUUGGCACCUCUUUAAUAACUUCUUAAAACUCUUUUCUUAACGCCACCCAUUUAAUAAUUAGAAUAAGUUAAACUUUUUGUUUGCACCUAUUUUUAUUACUUAAAUACCCUUGUUUUCAUUUUCUUCUUUACUAAAAUCCCACAUUUUUCGUUGUAUAAGUGUGCAAUAUCAUAAUAUGGUCUUCUUUCUUUUGAAUUUUAUUUAUUAAAAAAUUUCAUUAAAAUUUGAAAAUAAACCCACAUUAUUAUCUAUAAUUUGUCUAUCUAUAUUUUUCACUACUUAAACCCAUAUGAUUUUAAAAAAAAAUUAUUUUAUCAAAUUAUUAUGAGUAAUUUUCCUAAUGAUAAAAAGUGGAGUGGUUAUAGAAAAUUUAUUAACCAGUUAACUAAAACUAAAUAUUGAAGUAAGUAAACUUGUAGAUUUUAUAAUGAAUUAUUAGAUGUUCUUGGUUUUUGCGAAAAAACAUAAUCAGCAUUAAAGAGAUGAUUGUUAUUCUUUUAUAUGCUUAUAAUCAUGACUUAAGUAGUAAAUAUAAAGAAGGGAUUUUAAAGGGUGACAAUAACUCCACUCUUGAUUGAAUUUAAUUUUUUGAUCACGGAAUGCAAAAAUUUCUUUUUUUUUUUCAAAAUACAUGGGGUAUACUAAGGAUAAAAUUAUGUUCUAAUCAUGGUAUCGUAAUCCUCUUUUAUUUUCUAUGAUUCAACCCUUUAUUUUCUUUCUUAUUUACAAUUUAUUUAUAAGGACAACGAUAAUUUUAUUUUUCCAUUCUUCUACCCUUCUUCUCCAUAUUCUACCCAAUUUUCUCUGUUUAAUCAUUAAUCAACCACUAGUGAUGAACCUCUUAUGAUUAAAAAAACAGUAUUAAUCAACCAAUUAUAAUUAACAACAUCCAACUUCUUUGCAACUAUUGGUUCGUUCCCUUAAUUGCAAGAGCUUGAUCAUUAACAUUUAUUUUUACUCCGUACAACAUUGAUAAUGCCAAAAUUGACCUUACCUAAAUAAGACUAUUUUUUUUUUCUUUUAACACCUAUAAAAGUAUUUAAACAUAUGUAGCUAAUUUUUAUGUCGACACAUUUAUUAACAACACUGUUAGUACCAAAAUUGCAUUAGCUAAAUAAGACUAUUUUUUUUUUCCAAACAUCCAUAAAAAUACUUAUCAAACAUUUAGGCUUUAGCUAAUUCCUAUGUUGACACAUUUAUUAGUCUACAAAAUGCCUUCGUUUAGAGUAGUUGCGAAAACUAUUAUGAUUUUUUGUUUUAAUUUUCUAAAUCAAAUCCAUUUUUCUCCAGUUUUUUUUUUCUCCGGUAGCCAUUUGCCCAUACUUAUGUUUUGCCCCCAUCCACCCCUCCCCCCCAAAAAAAAGUCAACAACACAAUUCUUCUAAUGAUCGAUUGAUUUUUUUUAUUUUGCCCCUUAAUUUCCUUCUUUUUUUAAAUUGCACCAUGCUAUUUUCUUGCACUGAUAUUGUUGCUUCUUUUUUUUAUUCAUUUUCUUUUAUUUCUACUUUAACUGCAAAACUACUUUUUUUGGUAAAUAAUUAAUUUGUUGAAUUUUUUCUAUUGUAAGGAAAAAUGUGGCAAGUCAAAUAAUGAGAGCAUGAAAGGAUGUGAGCAUGAGACCGUGAGAACAUUUAAGCAUGUAAGCAUGAGGGCACGUGAGCAUGGGAGCAUAUGAGUAUGUGAGCAUGAGAUAAUGAGAGCAUGUAAGCAUGACAACAGAAGAGCAUGUGAGCAUGCUAGUUCAGUAGAAAGUUUAAUAAGUCAAUUAAACAUAACUAUAUACGAGCAUGAGAGUAUAUGAUCAUGAGAUAAUGAAAAACAUGUUAGCAUGAAAGCAUGCAAGCUCAGUAGGAAACUAAUAAAUCAAUUAAGCAUGUUACAUGAAAGCAUGAGACCAUGAGAGCACGUGAUCAUGAGAGCAUGUGACCAUGGGACCACGAGAGCACGCGAGCAUGUACCAGAGCAUGAGAGCAUACAAGCUCAGUAAAAAGCUUAAUAAGUCAAUUAAGUACAACUACACUCAGUAGGAAGUUUAAUAAGUCAAUUAAGUACAGCUACACUCAGUAAGAAGCUUAAUAAGUCAAUUAAACACAGUUACAUAAGAGCAUACAAGCUCAGUAAGAAGCUUAAUAAGUUAAUUAAGCUCAGUUAAAUGAAAGCAUAAAGUCAAAUGAGCAGAACUGUUAGAGAGAAUGAUUGCAACACAACAUUGUGAAAACACUUAAUAAGUCAAAAAAGUAUGAUUGCGGGAGAUUGCGGUUGUAGGAGAGCAUAAUAGCACAAGAGCGCUACCAUGGGAAAUGAGUUUAACUAAAAAACCCUAGCUGGUGAAUCUAAUAACUAGGCACCAAUAGUUGGAAACAUUAUCAAAGCCUAGUAAAAGAAAUUAGAAGCUCUUGAAGCACAAAGCGAGAUAAAAAAGGAGAUAGAUGUUGGAGAUAAGUAUUGAUAUUAGAUAAAACUUAAUCUAAGAAGGAGAUAAAUAUUGAUGUUAGAUAAAAGUCUAAGUGAUAAAGAUGAUCAACAAGAGGAAUUAUCGAGGAAUCGAGAUAUAAAUUUUAUUAUAAAUAGAGAAUCCAUGAUGCAUAGAGGUAUAAGAGUAAAUAGUUAGACCAAAAAAAAUAAAAAAAAAGAGCUUCAUUGUAAUUCUUAUUUAAUAGUGAACAUUACUCUUUCUAUACCCAUAGAUAUAGCUAAGUGUUAAACCACAUAAAUUCUCUAUGUUUUUUUUUCUUAUAUCAUCACAUUAUUUAAUUCUCUAGUUGAUUAGAAAUUAGCGUCAACAUUUAAAAAAAAAAGCAAUGCCCUUAAUUGCAAAUCACAUUUGGGUAUUUUGUAAUUAAAAUUUUUGAUAAAAUAUUAGUUUGCAGAGUAUUUUGUAGGGUGAAAAUACUCUCAUCCAAUUUUUAAUUAUCUAAUUAUUUAUUAAUUUGAAAUAGUCCAAAUUUAUUGAAACGUUUUAUUAUUUUUAAUUUCAGUACACAACAAGGGCUGCAAUGUUAAUAACCAAUUUAACGCAUCCACCUGCUAAAACUACUGUUCCGUAAAAUCUAAUGGUGACAACACAAACACCAAAAAAAAAAAAAAUUUGGGGGUAUUUUACAACAGUUGUAGGGUAGUUAGACCGGUCUACUAAUAGUUUAAAUACAUGUACUUUUACUACAAAUUAAAUAUGAGUAUAAUUGGAAAAUUUAUAUUUACUGGACAUGAGGCCUUCACCCUUAUAUUUAAGAAAAUAUAAAUGCUUCUAAUAAUAUUAGAGAAAGUAUAUUUAUUAUUGCUCAUAAUUGCAAGAGAAGAUUUUUAUUAAAUGCAGGUUUAGUAUAACUUAUUUAAUGAUCAUAAGUGAUUAUGUAAUUUCUAAAUUUUUUAAAAUUUUUUUUGUAUUGUCUAGCAGUACUUUGAGAGGAGUUUUGGAGAUUAAGUACCUAUUUGCUAUGAUUUAUCUAAUGGUCAUAAAUACUUAUGUAAUUCCACAAGCUCUUUUUAAAUUUUUCGCUUAUUUAAUUAUUUUUUUAGUAGAGCUUUUGAAGAUUAAAUGAGCUAUAUUGAGCUUGAAUUUUAGGUUUUUGAGACUAGAUGUUUAAUUUUAUUUUUAAAUUAUAUAUCAUAUAGUUCAGCCUCUUUUUUAAAAUGUUAAAAUACCUAAAAUGUCAUUUACUUAUUUGUCAAACAUAUUUCAUUCCUUUCAUAACAUAUUUUUAAAAAAGCUUACCAAUUAAAAUAAUUUUAUAAUUUCAAUAAAAACUCUUGUUGACAACCAAAUUUUUUUUCUUUUUUGGUAAAAACUUUAUUUAUAAAAGCUUUAAAUAACCUUAUUUGAAAAGUUAUACUAAAAAGAGUCCAAAUAACCUACUAUACCUCUAUUAACAACUCAAAUUCUGAGCUUUUGAAAGUAGAUCUUAAAAAGCAUUUUUUAAUAGUUAAAUUAUCUAAAAUAUUCUUUAUUUGUUACACAAUAUUAUUUCAUUUAUUUCAUAAUAUAAUUUUAGAAAAAUUAUCAAUUGAAAAUAAUUUUUUUAUAUUUUUUAAUAAAAAUUCUCUUUGAUAACUAAAUAAUUAAAAAAAUUUAAUAAAAACUCUAAUUUUUAAGAAACUUUGAAUUGAAAGGAGAAGCCUUAGGAGGGUGGAAAUAUCAACUGAAACAUGCAAAACAUGAGAUUUGAUGAUAAUCAAAGUCAAAUCAUCUAUUUAAGCUGGAACAAAUUGGAUGGCGUAAAUAAUCAGUGAGGGGAGGUGGGUAUAAUUAAUGAGAAUGACUAAAAUUAAAAAUUUAAUUUAAUUAACAUAGUUGUAUUGUCGGCUAUUUAUGAUUGGCUUUUGUAGUUUGUUUGGUAAACACUAGCUGCUUAAUUUGAAAGUUAAAUUGAUUUGAUUUUACAUUUAUAUAGUGAAAAAUCUAUUAUAUCUUUACUAAAUUUGCCAAAAUUAUUAUUUAAAAAUUAUAUUUACUACGUAAUAAUAACUUUUAUUUCAUAAUUAUAAUUUUUUUUUAUAACAGUUGUGGUUUAAAAGUUACAACACCUCAAUCCAAACAGGACCUUGGAUAUUUGCCCUUUUCACACAUUGGCAAAAAUUCAGUGCGUAAACAAUAAAAGAAAAGAAUUUUUUGUUGGGAGUACAGAAUGUAUGUUUAGUGUUUACCACUUACCUUAACUAUUGCAUAAUAUUGGCAUCAAGGACCAAAAUUAGUACUUAGCCUUAGAACUCUGCAACACAUACUUUUAAAAUAAAGAAAAUUGAGGGCAUGUUUGGAAUUGCUGUAAUUUAAAGAAUAAUUUGUUUAUACUCUGAUGAAAAAAUAACCAAUUAUACGAUACAACAAUUAGGAGUUUGGUUAAUUUUAUUGUUAAAGGUGCUAUAAGCGUCAAAAACACUUUGUAUGCAUUUAGUUAUUAAAAUGUUUUGAUGUGAUAUAAUGACCAUAAGAAACAAAGAAUAAAUUGCUCACACACAUUUUUUUUAAAAUUUUUCUAACACUCAAAUUUGUACAAUAUGAAAAAGUAAACCACUAAUUGAAAAUUCUUUGAACUUUAUAAUUCAUAGGAAUAUGUUAAUGAACAUAUAUAUGUUAAUGAACAUAAAAAUAUGCAUCAACUACAAUUAUCCUGGUAAAUCAUAUCAUAAAUUGCUUUUAAAAGAAACCCUACUACCUCUUUAAUCAUGGAGCUUGGGACAAUGUAGCCAUUUUUAAUGAUAUUAAAACAAGGUCUGAGGAAAUCCAUCAUACUGUUACCAUGCCUCUUCUUAUGGGAAACAUACGUGUUGAAAAAUGGAUUGGAUGGACUCCUCCUACCUCGCCUUGGUGCAAACUAAACACCGAUGGAACUAGGAAGCAAUCUGGAGCAGCGAGUGCUCUACUUCGAGACCAGAAUGGCAGAUGGAUUAUUGGCUUUGGCAUGAAUAUAGGCAUGUGUUCAGUUAUAAUGGCGGAACUUUGGGGUCUUUAUCAAGGACUGUGCAUGGCCUGGCAGCAAGGAUGUCGUUGGAUAUCUGUUGAAGUGGAUAGCCUUGUGUCACACAACUAGUCUCAAAUCCAGUGGCUCACACAUAUGAAUAUGCCCCUCUCCUUCAAGCCAUAAAGGAUCUCAUCAAGCAAGGUUGGCACAUCACCGUUCGACAUGUUUAUCGUGAAACAAAUCAUGCUAUUGAUUUCUUAGCGAAUUAUGCUCUCUCUGCUCCCUUGGGCUUUCAUAUUUUCUAUAACCCCCCUCCUAGUUUGGCUUCAAUUAUCACUCGUGAUAUGUAUGGUGUAGCUUAUUCCCGUCUAAUUUUAUCCUAACCCUUUUAGAGCCCCAUUAUAUAUAUAUAAAAAAAAAAAAAAAAGCAACCCUACUACCUGGUGCUAAAAUCGAGAAAGGAUGAUUGUCACUCCAACUCUAAACAUACUUCUAAUUUAUUAUUGUUUGUCACAAAUGAAAGAGAAAAAGAAAAUUAAUUAAAAGGCAGGAACUUUUUAAAACACAAGAAGUACGAAAAUAAAAUUUUAAAAAUGAUGCCUCUCCGACGAAGCUACGGUGCCCCGGGUGCACGGUACCCUUAUUUUUGAUAAAUUACUUUGCAGUCCCUCUUGUGAUAAAUUAAUAUAUUUUAUUUUAUAUUUAAAUUAUUUAUUACAGAUUAAAUUAAUAUUAUAUUAUUUUCAAAAGAUAAAAAAAUAUUUUAUGUAUUAAAAUUUGUUUUCAGGUUAUUGGCCUUAUAUUGUCAUUAAUUUUAGUAGUAAAUUAGAUCAAUUGAUCAAAAUAUAAAAUUUAAAAAUUAUGCAAAAUUAUUUGUCAAAUUUUUAACUAUUUUUCUUUUUUGAAACACAACGGGGAUGUCAAUGUUAAGAACCAAAGAGAAUACAUCCAUGCCAUUGAAACAAAUUUUGCAUUAAAUCUAAUGGGCAACUCAUAUAUGGACAAAAUGUGGGAUACCAUGCACUAGGUGCACGGUAGCUGGACCUCUACUUUUGUCUCUCAUCCCGUAAUUUCUAUCAUAUACUUUUCACCGAAAAAUAUUAGCUCAAAAUAACAGCGAGAGUGGCACCGUGCUGCCACAUGUAUAAAUAAUGCAGCAGAUUAUAUAGAAAUUAUAAAUUUUAACACUGCUAAUAGCCUAAUAACAAAUCAAUUUCUUCAUUAUCUAUGAGCACCGGUCUGAACUUAGUACCUCUUGUUUCCGCUCAAUAAAUUUUACUAAUUUAAUUAACAUACAAUGACAGGAAACGAGAGGAUAUACUCCAUUUACUAACUAGUCCUCGUAACAAAAAUUACUCCUUCAUUCACUACAAGGAUUUAUUACUCAUACUUGAGAAACUUCUUCGUGUUUUGCCUAACUUUAGCACGUCGGGCCUAACCUUAACUACCGAAGGUAAAGACUUCAUUCAAAUUUGAGACAGAAUUAAUUCUUCAUAGUGUACUAGAAAACAUCACAAAAUGUCACUGCAAUUUAAGAUCUGGAAAGAGAUCUUAGAUCAAAAACCUAAUGACUUUAUUUAACAGAAGAAAAGUACUAAAACAAAUUUUUUUAAAAAUAAUCAUAAUAAAUGAACAUAAAACACAAUAAACCCUAUAGAAGUCAUUCCUAGAAAAUAUUUCGUCAAAGAGCCUACACAAAAACCACGACCAUAGGUCUAUAAGAACCUCCUCGCACCACCAUAUCAAAACUCUAUCGAAUUAGAAAAUAGGAAUAUGUGUGUGUGUGUGUGUGUGUGUGUAUAAAAGGCAGCUGUAUUAUGCACUAUGAAAGUCUAAUAACUCGGCAUCAUCCAAGUAACAGUGUUUACAUUCUCUGAGAUGACCCCACAAUAAUGGUACAAGUGUGACUAGUUGAAAGGUCGUGGAAGCUAUUAACAGCUUUUCACCAGCGAUAAUUAGUUAAUGGAGCAACCUCCACAUUGCACAUGUAGCUUUCUAUUUUCCCCAAGUCCCCACCUACAAACCUCCAAACACUCUCAUAAAUCCCUAAUGCAUUCCCCUCCUAUUUAUUAACCUUACACCAACUUUAGCAAAACGAAACAAAAGCAACACGGAUUAUUCUUUUUUUCCUUUUUUUUUUUUUGCCCUUUGUGAGCUAGCUAAAGAGGAAGUUUGAGGUUGUAUUUAUUAAAAUAUAUUUUUCCUUUUUGUUGUAUCUGAGUGAUCUAAGCAGAUGGGUAUCGUCUCUUUGAUAACAGGAAGGCCUGGCUCAAGUGGGUUUGGUUCAGCUUCAACUGCUGAGCAGGUUACUGAUGGGAUUGAUGCAACCAAUCUCACUGCUGUCAUCACAGGUUAGCUUCUCUUAUAGCUUUAGCCUUCAAAAGUUCAACAUUAUGGUAUUUGGUGGUUUCUUGGACACAUGUGACUCUUUGCGUGCAUCUUUCAAUCAACUUAUUGUUUUCUUUAUUGUUAAAUCUUUUUUUGUGGUGAAGAAUAUGGAACUUUUAUUCAACUAAUUUGUAAUGCCGGCUCUACUACGUUAGUUGAGGCCUUUGGGGAAACUAUGCAUUAGGUUUUAUUUAUUUAUUUGUCAAAGUAAAAUUUUUAAAUUAAAAUUGUAGUUUAAAGCUUUCCUUUCUUGUUUCUUCACAUGAAAAAUCAAUCCUUAUGUGCCAAAAAUAAAAAUAUAUAAUCGUUUACAUUACGUUCUCAUGCUCAAAAUUAUAUAUAAUUCACAAAGGGAUAAAUGUGUCCUUUCAUAUUUUAUUUAGGAAUUUAUUAGAAGAAGUAUAAUUUAAGAAUUUAUGUAAGCAAAUGUUUAUUAAUAUAAGUUUUAGUAUUUUGAUUGAAUUUUUCAAAUAUAAGAAAAUGGGAUCUUUAACUGCAUCCGUUGAGGCACAUACUUGCCUGGGCUUUUGGCCGAUCAUGCAAAUUUGGAUCCAUAUCCCACUGACGUUUGUGUUAUGCCUCCCAGCCCCAAUCUAACCCAUUAACUAGUAAAUAAUAAAACAGGAUAAUUCUCGAUUAGAAGAUUUAAUUUGUAUGAAUCGGUCUGCUGUACCGUACAUCCGCCUUGGCCGUACAGCAGCUCACUUUAAAUAAAAUUACAAUUAAGGAUAAUUGAAAAUUAAACACAUAUAAAUUUUUUUUCCCAGCAAAUUAGUUAAUUCAUAAUCAAUAUUUUUCGUCUAUAAGAACCUCCUCGCACCACCAUAUCAAAACUCUAUCGAAUUAGAAAAUAGGAAUAUGUGUGUGUGUGUGUGUGUGUGUGUAUAAAAGGCAGCUGUAUUAUGCACUAUGAAAGUCUAAUAACUCGGCAUCAUCCAAGUAACAGUGUUUACAUUCUCUGAGAUGACCCCACAAUAAUGGUACAAGUGUGACUAGUUGAAAGGUCGUGGAAGCUAUUAACAGCUUUUCACCAGCGAUAAUUAGUUAAUGGAGCAACCUCCACAUUGCACAUGUAGCUUUCUAUUUUCCCCAAGUCCCCACCUACAAACCUCCAAACACUCUCAUAAAUCCCUAAUGCAUUCCCCUCCUAUUUAUUAACCUUACACCAACUUUAGCAAAACGAAACAAAAGCAACACGGAUUAUUCUUUUUUUCCUUUUUUUUUUUUUGCCCUUUGUGAGCUAGCUAAAGAGGAAGUUUGAGGUUGUAUUUAUUAAAAUAUAUUUUUCCUUUUUGUUGUAUCUGAGUGAUCUAAGCAGAUGGGUAUCGUCUCUUUGAUAACAGGAAGGCCUGGCUCAAGUGGGUUUGGUUCAGCUUCAACUGCUGAGCAGGUUACUGAUGGGAUUGAUGCAACCAAUCUCACUGCUGUCAUCACAGGUUAGCUUCUCUUAUAGCUUUAGCCUUCAAAAGUUCAACAUUAUGGUAUUUGGUGGUUUCUUGGACACAUGUGACUCUUUGCGUGCAUCUUUCAAUCAACUUAUUGUUUUCUUUAUUGUUAAAUCUUUUUUUGUGGUGAAGAAUAUGGAACUUUUAUUCAACUAAUUUGUAAUGCCGGCUCUACUACGUUAGUUGAGGCCUUUGGGGAAACUAUGCAUUAGGUUUUAUUUAUUUAUUUGUCAAAGUAAAAUUUUUAAAUUAAAAUUGUAGUUUAAAGCUUUCCUUUCUUGUUUCUUCACAUGAAAAAUCAAUCCUUAUGUGCCAAAAAUAAAAAUAUAUAAUCGUUUACAUUACGUUCUCAUGCUCAAAAUUAUAUAUAAUUCACAAAGGGAUAAAUGUGUCCUUUCAUAUUUUAUUUAGGAAUUUAUUAGAAGAAGUAUAAUUUAAGAAUUUAUGUAAGCAAAUGUUUAUUAAUAUAAGUUUUAGUAUUUUGAUUGAAUUUUUCAAAUAUAAGAAAAUGGGAUCUUUAACUGCAUCCGUUGAGGCACAUACUUGCCUGGGCUUUUGGCCGAUCAUGCAAAUUUGGAUCCAUAUCCCACUGACGUUUGUGUUAUGCCUCCCAGCCCCAAUCUAACCCAUUAACUAGUAAAUAAUAAAACAGGAUUAGAGCUAUUAGCACCCCUACAUUAUUCUCAUAAAACCUCACUUUAAAUAAAAUUACAAUUAAGGAUAAUUGAAAAUUAAACACAUAUAAAUUUUUUUUCCCAGCAAAUUAGUUAAUUCAUAAUCAAUAUUUUUCAAAAAAAAAUCUAUAUGUUACUUCCUAUCUAAUUAAAAUAAAUUGUAUAAAUUUAGAAUAAUUUAUUGUUCUCUUUUGAUUUCUUAUUGAUUAAAUAUUUUAUACUUAAAAUUGCUUUGAAAUUAUAAUUUGAAAUAUGUGUUAUUUCAACCAAUGAUUAAUACUAAAAAACUUAUCACCCAUACAACUUUUUAAUUUGUGUGUAGAGUAAUAAUAAAAUUGAAAAUAAUUAAAAAAAAAUAGCACAAUAAUACUUUGAGUUUUAACAAUAAAAUAAAUCAAAUGAAAAAUGAGAAUUUAAAAAUGUGUAUCUAAAAAAAUGGAUAUUUUCGGAAAUAAAAUAAAUAUAGUUUAAAAAAGGGGUUCAAUGAGAAAAUCAGAGGGGUGCCAAUAGUCCAACAGUCCAACUCAUAAAACAGAGGGAGAAGUAUUAGGCUUGUUUCGUCAUUGUCUUUGGCCAAUCAUUUUCCGUUUUGCGAAAAUAAUAAAAUGAAAAACAUGUUCUGUAGAACACUUUCUACACAUCGUUUUUCAUUUGAUAGAAAUUGAUGGUAUCCAUUUUCUACUUUUUGUUGAGAAAAGCAGACAAGGAUUAAUUGUCGUUUCAAUUUUACUGCAUCGGAAAUUGGACAAAGUCUCCACAAACUUUUUGGUUUUACUUCAUCAUACUUGCUAUGCCCCAUAUGUCUUCCUUUUUUAUUUAAAAUCUCACAGCAAUUAGAAAAAUAAUAUAUGGGUCCAAAUAUCUUUUAUUUUAUAAUUGCUUCACACAAAUUUUACAAUUUUUAUUUUAAACACUACUUUUAAAACACGUUACUAAAACGCGUUUUUAUAUUCACCAAAAAUUAGUAAUUUUUUAUUAUUAAAAAAAUACAAAAACACUAUUUGAAAAAUAAUGUCAAAUGCACCCUUAACUUGUCAAUCAAAUUUAUAAUUCAAAAGUAAUUUUCAAAAAUUGAGUGUGUUUGGUAUUAUUUUUUAAUUGGUGUUUUAUAUACUACUUCAAAAAAAAAACAUUCUUGAUGUGACAUUUUUUAAAUUAAAAAUAUGUUGAAUGGUUUGUUAGGGAUGAUAAUGGGGUGGGGUGGUGUGGGGGUGGAGAGGCCCAUUCCAUUUCCCACUUUAUUAAAAAUUUCGUCUCAAUUUUCUACCCUAUUCCUCAAUAAUUUUAGUGGGGUGGGGAGGGGAAAUCCCUAUGUGGGAAAUGAUUUCUCCAUCUUCACCCCAUUCUCAAUUUAUUUAUUUUAUAGUAAAUAUAGAUACAUGAUUUCAAAAAAUUAAGAAUUAAAAACUUAAAUAAAAUUAUUACCAUAUUAUAAAGUAUUUAAAUUAUUUAAAAAAUCUCCAAAUGUUUGAAAUAAUAUCUUAAAAUGAUAUCAAAAUUUAAAAAAAAAUGUUUGAAGAGAACAUUAUCUUAAGAGAAAAAAAACAUAACAAUAUUUUAGGGUUGAAAAAAAAUUAUAUUGUAGAAUUUUCUAAGUUAUACCUAUUAUAUAAAGUAAAAAGAAAAAGAAAAUUUAUUAACUAACAUUGUAAUUCAUAAAGAAAAAAUUAUUAAAUAAAAAUUAGAAAAAAUAUUCAUAUAUAAUGGGGAUUUGGGUGGGGGUGAGGUAGAGAGUAUAAAACCAAACCCUACAUGAUUAAGAAUUUGAGGAUUAUUCUUUCUCCAUUCCUCAUCCUAUUCUCCAAAAAUUAUUUAAAAUUCACCUCAUUUGGGGUAUUUGGGGUGAAGCUCUCUGGGACCCCAAACCCAUGGAAGCUUUUGCUAUCCAUGUAGUUUGUUUUAUAAUGAGGGGGAAAAUGACAUUUUUCCAUUAGUACAGGUUUGAUCAGAAAUUAACCAUAUUAAACGUUUUUUAAAAACUCAUUUUGAAAAUAAUUAAACCCAAUGUGAUUUCUAAAUUAUUCUUUUUGUUUUUUUUCCCCAAAAAUUAAGAAUUUUUGUAUGCAAAUCGUGUCUUAACUGUAGACACUUAGAAAAANNNNNNNNNNNNNNNNNNNNNNNNNNNNNNNNNNNNNNNNNNNNNNNNNNNNNNNNNNNNNNNNNNNNNNNNNNNNNNNNNNNNNNNNNNNNNNNNNNNNNNNNNNNNNNNNNNNNNNNNNNNNNNNNNNNNNNNNNNNNNNNNNNNNNNNNNNNNNNNNNNNNNNNNNNNNNNNNNNNNNNNNNNNNNNNNNNNNNNNNNNNNNNNNNNNNNNNNNNNNNNNNNNNNNNNNNNNNNNNNNNNNNNNNNNNNNNNNNNNNNNNNNNNNNNNNNNNNNNNNNNNNNNNNNNNNNNNNNNNNNNNNNNNNNNNNNNNNNNNNNNNNNNNNNNNNNNNNNNNNNNNNNNNNNNNNNNNNNNNNNNNNNNNNNNNNNNNNNNNNNNNNNNNNNNNNNNNNNNNNNNNNNNNNNNNNNNNNNNNNNNNNNNNNNNNNNNNNNNNNNNNNNNNNNNNNNNNNNNNNNNNNNNNNNNNNNNNNNNNNNNNNNNNNNNNNNNNNNNNNNNNNNNNNNNNNNNNNNNNNNNNNNNNNNNNNNNNNNNNNNNNNNNNNNNNNNNNNNNNNNNNNNNNNNNNNNNNNNNNNNNNNNNNNNNNNNNNNNNNNNNNNNNNNNNNNNNNNNNNNNNNNNNNNNNNNNNNNNNNNNNNNNNNNNNNNNNNNNNNNNNNNNNNNNNNNNNNNNNNNNNNNNNNNNNNNNNNNNNNNNNNNNNNNNNNNNNNNNNNNNNNNNNNNNNNNNNNNNNNNNNNNNNNNNNNNNNNNNNNNNNNNNNNNNNNNNNNNNNNNNNNNNNNNNNNNNNNNNNNNNNNNNNNNNNNNNNNNNNNNNNNNNNNNNNNNNNNNNNNNNNNNNNNNNNNNNNNNNNNNNNNNNNNNNNNNNNNNNNNNNNNNNNNNNNNNNNNNNNNNNNNNNNNNNNNNNNNNNNNNNNNNNNNNNNNNNNNNNNNNNNNNNNNNNNNNNNNNNNNNNNNNNNNNNNNNNNNNNNNNNNNNNNNNNNNNNNNNNNNNNNNNNNNNNNNNNNNNNNNNNNNNNNNNNNNNNNNNNNNNNNNNNNNNNNNNNNNNNNNNNNNNNNNNNNNNNNNNNNNNNNNNNNNNNNNNNNNNNNNNNNNNNNNNNNNNNNNNNNNNNNNNNNNNNNNNNNNNNNNNNNNNNNNNNNNNNNNNNNNNNNNNNNNNNNNNNNNNNNNNNNNNNNNNNNNNNNNNNNNNNNNNNNNNNNNNAAGGGGGGGGGGGGGGAACAAAACAAUGAGAGAGAGAAAAAAAAAAUGUACCUGGUUAUACUUUUUGUCCUCUCUUUCUUUUAAAUUCUCUCAUGUUUUUUCAUGUUCAUAAUUUAUAUUGAUAGCAUGCUUUUGUAAAUCUUCUUCAGUUCUUCAGAUUGCUAUUUGCUUUAAAAAUUGCGCUCAUUUUCUUCAUUUUCUCUCUCUCUCAAGAAAGAAAGCACUAGAACCUUUUUUUUAUAUAUAAAAGAGAAUUUAUGAAUAAAUAAAACAGGUUAUUAUCUUUUUAUUGCUUAACUUAUUGAGAAAUAUAAGUGCAACAAGUAUUGUUCCAUAACAUUUUACUACUAAAGAAUUGUAAAAUCUUAGAUUUUAUUAUUUUUCCUUAAAAAUUGUUAGUUAAUUGUUGGUUAACUUUUAAGAUACUAAUUUUGCCCUUGCUUUGAAAAGCAUACAAAGAAUAUUGAUGAAUUUACAAAACAUUAAUACAAAGUAUAUUAACAUUUUUUUUUAUCAAUACCGAUCAUAAUAUCUUUCUAAUUAAUAAUUUUACCCUUAAUAUUCAAUGAAAUUGUUGUUUUGGUUUUACUUUACCCCAAUUACAUCUACAUGAUGUUUGCGAUCAAUUAACCGUUAACUAAUCAUUAUAAUUAAAUUUAUAAUUAUUUAGUAGUAAAGUGUUAUAGUACAGUCAUUAGUGCACCUAAGCAGUAAAAAGAUAACCUAAGCAGUAAAAAGAUAAUAACUCAAAUAAAAAUAUUUGAACACAAUUAAGAUAUAUAUUUGGGGAUAAUUAAUUGAUGAAGGAACAUGCUUGCAGGAGGGGCAAGUGGAAUUGGUUUGGAGACAGCAAGGGUCUUGGCUCUACGUAAAGCUCAUGUUAUUAUUGAUGCAAGAAACAUGGCAGCUGCAAAUGUAUUCUAAAAGAAGAUGACACUGCUCGUGUUGAUACUCUGAAACUUGAUCUUUCCUCUAUUGCUUCUAUUAAAGAUUUUGCUCAAAACUUCAUUGCUCUUAAUCUUCCCCUCAACAUCUUAAUGUAAUUUUACUCGCCCCUCUUUCUCGAAAUAUUACAUAACUAUCUACUGAUGUUUCCGAGAAACAAUAAAAGCAUACUAUAACAUGCAAAAAUUAAUUUAAUGCAGAAACAAUGCUGGAAUCAUGUUCUGUCCCUACCAGAUUUCUGAAGAUGGAAUAGAGAUGCAAUUUGCAACAAAUCAUAUUGGUGAAUACUUUAAUUUGAAGCUGUAUUGGUUGUUAUUAAUUAACUAGCUAAAUUAGUAUUCAACUUUAAAUAUUACUUUUGCAGGGCAUUUUCUUUUAACAAAUUUGCUUCUGGACACAAUGAAUCGCACGGCUAAAGAAACGGGUAUUGAGGGCAGGAUAGUGAAUCUAUCAUCAAUAGCCCACCAAUACACAUACAAAGGUGGCAUUCGGUUUCAGAAGAUCAAUGACAAAGCAAGGUACGUUUUGAUCAUAUAAUAACAAUUAAAUCAGCUAAAAAUUUCUUCUCAUGUACGUUAUAAAUUUUGAUUUCAUCAUAUUAAUGCGUUAUUAAAUUGUAACGUAUUAUCACUGGGCAAUUAUGCUAAUUGAGUUGAAAAGUUAGUGAAAAAGAAAAAGAUAAAACAAAAAUCAUGGAUCUAUGAUGAUUGUUUACUUUUUUAACAAGCUAAUAUUAUUAUGUUAUAUGCAAAGGUCAUUAAGAAAUUCUCUAAAUACCUUGUUAUUGUCAAAAAAAAUUUAUUGACAAAUUAAUUUUAGCUAAUUCAUAAUUUAACUUCAAUCCACGACAAUAACCGAAAUGAACAGACAGACUAGCUAGCAAGGUACUAGCCUUGUAACUGCCUCCAUUUAAUGCUAAUUAAGCAAAACUCAAAGAAACUACUGCUGAUGAUCAUGAUAAUGUCCAAAACCCGAGCUGUAAAAAUUAGGAAGAGCAUCAUUGGAAGAAGGAGGAAUCCCAAGAGGUAAUUUGCUUUGAUGAUGAUGAGGAUUAAUAUUUUGAUUAUUCACACCAAAAAAUGGUGAAGGAUUAUUUUUGGAAUCGAUCAAAAUCUUGUUAGCUUGUUGUUCCACAUUCUUCUUUAGCUCUUCCAUCGCGGUCUUCAAUUGUUCAAGUUCAUGCAAUCCUAAUUCGUUUAUAGGAGCUUCCCACCAACAUUGGCGGCAACUUGCUUUCCUUAUCUCACUCAGCACUUCACCAUGCUUCUUCUCAACUUCUAGUUGAUGAAGCACUUGUGUUAGUUGCAUGUUGAGCUCUCGAAUGUUAGCAUUUCGAUGAGCUUCGAUAAGCCUAUCUGUGCUAGACUCCGAAGGCGGGUUAGGAUUUCGGGCAAGAUAAAGAUCAAGGAUUGAAUCAACAUUAGGGUGGCCGAAAGAGAAGGCCUUGUUGGCAGGAGAGAAGACUAUUAGGGCAAUAUCAACACCACAAAGUGUGCUAAGUUCACUGGCUUUUUUGAACACGCCGGCACGGCGUUUGGAGAAAGUUACUUGAAGAUUAUUUUUCUUUGGUAUUUUUGAAAUUGCAAUCUUUUGGCGACCCGCACAAGGCUUCUUCAUCUCCAUUGAUACAAAUUAAAAUCAAAGAUUACUAAAAAAAUUAUAAAAUGUUCGUUUACUUUUCUCUCUCUUAUAUAUAUAUAUAUAUAUACUAUUUGUUGUGGUAGCUGUUGGGGAAACACAAUAGUAUUUAUAGGGUUAAUCUACUUGAAGUUUGCCUUAUAACUUAAUUAUGUGAUUAAUUGAAGAUUUGCGAGUUACCAAAUUUUAUUCUUUAAUGCAUGAUUAGUGAGAACUAAUUAUUUUUACUAGUUAGCCUUCAUAAGAUAACAAUUUCAUUUAUGAGGUAAUCUGGUUAAGUUGAUUAACCAUAUUCGUUAGUAUUAAUUUCGAUAUAGAAAAGUCAUAACCGAAUUCUUUGAUUAUAUUUUCUAAUUAAUAUCUUUCUUCCUAUUAUAAUUACUUACUUUCUAGCAUUAAGUUCACAUAUGCAUUAAACCUAUGUAACAGUAGCAAUAUAUUAUUUAAACAGUUACAGAAGGGCAUUAUGCAUUACUCUAUUUGGUUUCAAUAAUUAUUAAUUAACUUAUUGUGUUAUUUGGGCAUUCGUGCUUACUAUAGCCAGCAGCUUCAGUGCCUGAUCCAUAUUAAUUCCUUGCAUUUUAAUGGAACAAGGAGAAAUCAAGUUCAAGAAGGCAAAUCAUAUGUAUCCUCUCUUCAGGAUUUUUUUUCAGUUACAUAUUUCUCUAAUAGGAACAUCAUAAUUCUAUAAUUAGUAAAAUAUCUCUACAUUGUCGAUAGAUUUGUUUCAGUCGCUACAAUACUUUUAUCCCAUAUUCUUUUUUCCUGUUUGCUCAAAGGCAGGCAAAGGCUUCCUCCGUUGCGUGACGUGCGCUAAGAUUCAUAUUUCACAGCAUUAUUUUUCGAGUAAAUAACCAUAAGGAAAGAAUGAUUAUCCUUGGGCGGGAUAAUGAGUCUUUCUGUCAAAAUAUUCAUGCACAUAUAGCAAUACUCAUGCAUCACUAUUGGAUAAAACAAGAAUAUGUGUGCACAAAAAAAAAAAAAAAAAAUUAUGCAAACGCAACAAAAUUUAUAUUUUCGAAAUAUGAUUAUCAAUAUCUGAGGAAAAAAAAUCGAAUCUCAUUAGGGAAUCUUGCCACGUGAUCAUGAAUAAUUGACUAAUUGUGGAAGAUGAAGAUGAUAGUGAGGUGAGUUGCCGAUGGUCAUGGUGUUGUGUGGAGGCAAAAGAAAUGGUGGUGGGUUUGGAAGAGAAAGGGAGGAGGGGUUGUCGUGGGAGAGGCCAAGGGUGACUCUUGAGACACGAAGAGAAUGACAUUUCAGGGGAUUUGACGGAGAUUGAACAUGAAAAUUUGGAAAAGAAAGUUUCUUUCUUUCAGGAAUGAGCUAGUGAGCUGCAGCUGGAGUGAAAAGAACUGGAUUUUCCUUCUUUUUUUCUUUUUUUUUUUACCCUUGAAGGUCGUUUCCGGGCGUUUUUCUGCCAAUUGCAUAAACCAAUCCUGAAUCCUUAACUA
RNAcentral lists this long non-coding RNA (29628 nucleotides) under Citrus sinensis (sweet orange). RNAcentral describes it as "long non-coding RNA (CSIN_LNC002549)". Lineage: Eukaryota; Viridiplantae; Streptophyta; Magnoliopsida; Sapindales; Rutaceae. The record is from RNAcentral.